This is a long non-coding RNA of Rattus norvegicus (Norway rat), 480 nucleotides long. RefSeq lists it as uncharacterized. Lineage: Eukaryota; Metazoa; Chordata; Mammalia; Rodentia; Muridae. The record is from RefSeq and is a predicted model, not a curated record.
UAUGCUUCUAGGUUUCCCCUCCAGCCCUCCACCCGCAGAGCGUAGGGAGCUGGAACGGGUCCUGAGCCAGGACGAAGGGAACAGAGUACACAGAUGAGGGCUACAAACACUAUGAGCAUGCCAGAAUUCCGGUGCAGAGAAAAAUGCCUACGUAAACCAUCAUUUUUGGUUAAAACAACAAGAGCUUAGUACCUCUUAAACUUGGUAGAAGUGGUGUACUACAUAGAGCAUCCUGUAUUUCUAGCAUGUGCCUGGAGCACCCCACCCCCUCGAGCCUCAGCUCUCUUUCUUCAUCUGUCUAUCCAAGCCCAGAGGAGCCUCAGGACACUAUGUGAAGAUGCAAUACAGCCCAAGCUCCCGCUGCUGUGACUUUGCCUGCAAUGAUGGACUACACCCAUCGACCAAGCACUGAAAAAAGCCACCACACUGGUGAGUUACUUUUGUCAGACUCUUGUCUCACAGCCACAGGAAAAGAAACUA